UGGAGGAUGAAGAAUCAGACGGAGAAGCGUUUUGAUUAUCUGAACAUUUGAUCAAGCAAGAUCACAAGCGCCAUAGCCACCGGCGUAUCCAUCUCCGGCUGCACAAUGAGGCGGAACACGUCCACACCUAGAGCCACUCCCGCCAUCGCCUCUUUCCGCUUUAUCUCCGCCACGCACCUCCGCCUCUCGUCGUACACUGCGCAGCACCGCUGCGAGUACGACCCUUCGAUCUCGUACAUCGCCUUCCUCAUGCUGCUGCUGCUGCCUCCACUCACUCGUGCCAGCGACUUCGAGCUCAGCAGAUUCAGAUGCUUCCUCAUCUGAAACCGCGGAUUCGCCGC
Molecule: long non-coding RNA, 341 nt
Filed under: Vitis vinifera (wine grape)
Lineage: Eukaryota; Viridiplantae; Streptophyta; Magnoliopsida; Vitales; Vitaceae
Description: long non-coding RNA (VVIN_LNC002393)
Source: RNAcentral